UCCUCUGUUGAGGGAUUAGGUUACAGCUUUGGGUUUCCUUUCUAGUCGUUUCAGACAAAGGGUUGUAGCUGUUGGUAGGAAGUUAUGUAUGGCCAGUAAGAUUCAUAGGUAAGUAUUAUUUAUGAGCCACUGUGUUAAACAUGGGAACCAAGGCAAUAGUCACUGCUGGCAUGACUCACUGCAGAAAUGGAGAAACUUUAAAAACAGCAGGGCUUUGGGAGGUGGUUUGCAGAGAGGCAGGAAGAGCUCAAGCACCAGGGUAGAUGGAUCUGGUUUCUCUUCCAGUCUCACUGCCAACUGGCUGUGUGACCUAGGACAAGCCACUUCUCCUCUGCCAACAUCUGUCCAGCAUUUACCAAGAGGGUAUCAAAGAACCUCCCUUACAGGCUUGUUGCAGAAAUUAAAUGAGAUAAUGGCCAAGGCUCCUGGGAGGCACUCCCUAAAUGACUACGCCCAGUGGAUCUGGUAGAAUCAAAGUUCACAAUAGAUCCCUUCAUGCUAACUCUUCUCCUUUAUGUUUAAAAGAGGAAAUCAAUACAUGGUCAUCAUAAAGAAAAUUCACCAGCCUUUGACUUUCCAAGAGAAUCCAGCAAACACCCACCCACUCUGUGGGGGAAGCCAUCUCACUGUACUAGAAACUAUUAAACCAUUGUAGAUUAAUGAUUCAUUAAUUUUAAUGAGACCUGAAGAGACCGGGAAAACAAGGGAAACUGACAGCAAUAGGAUGAAAGGAAAGUGCAUGAGAGAAACCCGGAAAACCACUGAAUGUUGCCUUUAAUACCUGUGAGAUGGUCUGUCUCUGAAGGCGACCGCGCCCAGGUGGGUCCUGACGAUCCUCAGAGCUCACCAGAGUGAGCUGCCAGGGGAAGGCUCCGAGCAACAGGUUCCACACCUGUAACAAUGCGCCCUCUGGGCUGAGUGAAAGCAGCCUCGCUACCAGCUGCAAGGAGGAACUGGCCUCUCCCCUCCUUAGAGAUAUUUCCAGUGAUUUGUUUAUGAAAAAGCCUAAAGGGAAGCCAGUUCAGAAUCUAAGGCAGCCUAAGAACAAGUCAGGACGCAUGAAUUUUGACUGUGAUAUCCAAUAGAUGGGUCAUGGGAGCACGAUAUGUUUGAUAUUGACUCACAGCAUAUACAGCCUCCUGGAGAGCCUCGUGCCAGCCCUGCAAGAUAUUGUCACCUCGCUGGUUCUGUGAGUAUUUAAAAGGCAAUUGCACUGUUCUAGGAAGACAGCCGCUUCAGGACGGUGGGCAAUGUUGUAAGACGUGAAUUCCUUGAACGUGGGCCUGUUGCUGCACUUCUUUUGCAGUGAAGUGAGUUCUCAGAUUGGAAGAAGUGCUGUGUGGAAUACCAUUAUUAUGAUAAAACGUUCUGUAAGUCUUCAAAUGCUAGUUUUGGCAGAAACAUUGUGUGCAGGGAGGGCAAAUCCAUGCCUAAAGUAGGCGUCUAUUCCAGUAAGAGCAAAAUAAUGUUCCUUUUAUGGUAGAAGUGGUUCAAUAUAAUCAAUCUACCAGUAGGAACUGGCUGAUCUUGUGGAGAAUGGCCCCAUAUUGGUAGCUCAGUGUUGGUCUCUGCUUUAGCUGAUUGUGCUCUCAGCAGUGGUCAUAGCCAGGUCAGCCUUGGUGAGUGGAAGUCCACAUUGCUGAACCCAUGUGCAACCUCCAUUCCUGCCAUCCUGGCCAGUUGGGUGGUGAUGGGGUGGUUGGAGAAAGAGGCUGACUGGUAUCCAUAGAGCAGAUCAUCCUAUCCACUUAGUUGUUGAAAUUCUCCUCUGCUAAGGUUACCAUCUGGUGAGCAUUCACAUGAAACAGAAAUAUCUUCAUGUGUUUUACCCAGAGAGAUUUAUCCACAUACCCCUUCAUCAAAUGUCCUUGUCACUAAUUUUCUAAUCAUGUUCCUUCCAAGUCCCUGACCAUCCAGCCAAACCAUUGGCUAAAGCCCAUGAAUCAGUGUAUAAUUACAUAUCUGUCCAUUUCUCCUUCCAAACCAAAUGAACAGCCAGGUGCACUCCCUAAUGUUCUAUCCACUGGGAAGAUUUCCCUUCACCACUGUCCUUCAGGAUGUUCGAAAAAUGGGUAGUAGUGCUGUAGCUGUUAACUUUUGGGUGGUGGUGUGAGAUAUUGAGAGUCUGGUUUGAGGACAUAGCAAUGGAAAGAGUACAGGUAGUUGUAAGGGCUAGUGAGUGGAAGAACUAGUAGAGAACUGCAUAUUAUGCAGAACCAUCAUAAACUAAGCCUGAGUCUUCCUCUGUCAACCAAUCAUAGGAAACUCCCUCUGAGACCAUAGGUGCAGGCUGGGAGAGAGAAGGCAUGUAGCAGGAAGGGGGUCAAAGGGCAUUAAGCCACUUCUUAUAACUUACUUGUGCCUUCAGGUCCUGCUUGGGCCCAAUCAUAUAUAUGGCACUUCCACUUGAUGAUGGAGUGCUGCCGUACACAUCCAUCUUUAUGAUGUGGUGGGUCAGACAAAUCCCAGUUCAUGAUGGGCAGCUCAGGUCACAGGGUAACUCAGCCUCAGGGUAACUCACCACCUCCUUGUUCCAAAAUUCUAAUAAUCUGAGCUGCAAUUCACCUAUGUGGGCCUGAAGAAGGCUCUGAACAACAUACCCAUCUUCCAUGGACACUUCAAGUACCAUAAGAUCUGCUAGAUCCCAUGGCCCAAGUGGAGGGCCAGCUUGACAGCAGCCUGGACCUGUUGCAGAAUCUUCUUUUAUUCUAGGCCCCACUCAAAACUAGCAGCUUUUUGGGUCACUUGGUAAGAGGGCCGGAGUAGCAUACCAUUUCUCAUUUCUUGAAUGAGAAACAUAUUGUCUUCAACAUUCUCUUGAAGAGACGUAGAAGGGCUUGGCAGUGAGAGCAGCAGAUUAGAAAGCAGAAAUGGACAUAAUGGCAGUAAUUUUUUAAUAAAAUGUAUUGGGUUAAUAAGAUAGUUCAUCUUUCUUUACCAUAGUUUCCCUACUGUACAUAGAAAAAGACACGGAACUUAAUUUUGACCGUUAAAAUCUAAAAUUACAGUUUUACAGUAUAAAAAUAAUGGAAAUCCAUUCACUCGAGAUGUUCAUUGGACAGCCAUGAUAUGCACAGCACCAUAAUGGUUGUCAUGAAAUACCCAAAAUGUAUAAUCUACCCCUAUUUUUGAGGCACCUAACGCAGGGUCCUGCACACAGCAGUUACUUAAUAAAUGUUACUUGAAGGCCCCAUUUUUCACAAAGUUGAAAAUGUAUUUGAGGAAACUAAACGACAACUCGAUAGAAUCAAUAGUGGCGUGGCAGUCCUGCAGCCAUUUGUUUGUUGCACAGUUGGUUUUGAACAAACACCCAGUAGGUUGCUCAAGCAGAGAGAACCUCUUGGGCAAUGGUGGCUUCAGGAAGCCUCAUAGGACUUACAGAGAAUACAUGGAAAGAAAAGAAGGUGCUCAGGCAGGGCAAAUAGCCACUGGAUCUUGCGCAGUUUGUGGGAGUGGACCAUCCACCUGCAGAAAAGGGCUUGUGUUGAGAAAUAAUGAAAGGUGCACCUGUAAGAAGUUUGGGGCAUCUACUUUGGCCCUGAGCUAUGACAUGGGAACUUUAUUCUUUGUCUUGUCAAUACUGGCUGUCUUUGUGGUUGUGCAGAGGAGUGACAAGUUUAAAGCAGCACUUGAGAAAGAUCUACUUGGUGUCAACAAAAGCAAUGAACUCGAAAGGACCCAAAUUGGAAACAAGUUACUAUUAAGAUAUUUUCAGCAUAGUCUUGGUGUUGAGGAAGUAUCAGUGAAAAUAGGACAGAGAGUUGUAAAGGCCAGUCAGUGGAGGAAAUAAGAGAAUUAAUAGAGCCUGGUAAUUGGAGAGAGUAAGGUGGGGAAAAGGAAGAAUGAAAGACAAGUACAUUGGAAGCUUGGGUGGCUGAAAGAAUAAAGUAACUUUAAGAAAAGAACAGAAGAACGGAAAGAUAAGUAACAAGUAAAAGAGAAGAAUAAAGAAAGAGAAGCCAGAUAAAAAGGAAAAAUCAAUUAUUUUAAUUUUACACUAAUAUAAGAUAUUAUUAUUAAUGGCACAGCACCUAAUUAUGUAUUUACAUAAUACCUUACAGUUCACUGGGCACAUCCCCAGAUACAACAUGUCAUUUGUGAUGAAGCUAGAAUAGUACACUAGAAAGACAUGGGUGGUUAGAAGAAUGUAAAUACAGUUGGAAGAGAGGGGAGGGAUGUAACAACAAUAGCUUAGAAAGUCCUCCACGUGGAAGUAUACUGAGCAAAUAGCACAUAAUGAUCCAUUUCGCUCUCUGUUUAAUUCUUAUUUGUGUUAUUUAAAGUCGUAUAUCUAUAAUUGAAUCCAUUAAAUCUUUAAUGUUCAUUUCUUUUCCUCAAUAACUGAGCUGUACUUUGAAAUAUCAACCAGUGUUUUGAAAUAAUGCUUCAAAUGUUUUUAUCCUAAGUUUUAGCAUACUUUUUUCUUUUAUAUAUAAUGUAUAUGUAUAAUUUCUUAUAUAUGUAGUGUGUGUGUGUAUGUGUGUGUGUGUGUGUGUGUAUUUCCAUUUGAAGAUUCAGCAGCAUACUGGAUCAAAACCAAAACAGGAUCUGCUAUUGAAUGUUUUUACCAGCUAGAGCUGGGGAGAAUGAUUGGCAAACUGAAUUGCAGUGGUAUUAUUAAAAUUCAUGAACCGGAGAAUUACCAAUGUGUAAUAUUCAAAAAUGCAGUGGGUGCUAAGUAUCUUUGACACAUUCCUUAAAGCUUUAACCAUCUUGGGAAAAAAAUGUUAGAAGUCUGUCAGAAACAUAUUGGAUUUUCCUAAAGCAUAUGGUGAUGAAAUAGUAUAUCAUUUUAUGAGAAAAUAUUGUCAUACUGGCUUCCUGGCCCAACAUGUCAUAGUCAUUUUAUAUUUCUAUUUUGUAGUUAUCUUUCUUUUGUGCUCUUUAUUUUAGGAUGAAUUGCUUUCCUGGUCUUGGAAGAAUGUCAUUGUUUCACCCCCUCUCUUUCUUUUGGCCGUUCCUUUGUUUUUAUUCUUCCUCCAAGAGUCUUUUGUUCUCUACAAUAGUUUUUAUAUAGUGUUUCAAGACUGAAAGGUGUGUGCUUUGAUUAAAUUUUUGUUUUGACUACACUAAGAGCGUUUUUAUCUUCCCUUUCUCCACCCCAUGGUUUGUGUGUUGCUGCUGUUUCAUCCUCUUUCUGAAGUACUUGCUUUCAUCCCAGACCUGGCUGGAUUGUAAGAAUGGAAGUGGUUGUUCUCUAGCUUGCAUUUGAAAAAAAAAUCCAUUUUUAUUUCAAGAGGAUGAUGGACACACACAAAAAAUGUAUGCCACUGGGCCCUUUUACCACAUUUUCUGUUUGGUCCCCUUGGGCUCUUUCAAAACAUUGAGCAUGUUCCCAGAAUUGGUCAAAACCACAUUGCCCAGUUGCAGGCGAAGCUGCGGGUUGGCAUCCUCUCUGGGAGUGGCUGGUUGGUAAGCUCAAUUUCCAAAUUCCUGGAACUGUCAUAUUAAUCUGUAUUUUAAGGCAACAAAGGAGAAAUGCAUCCUUCUCCAAGGGCUUUUAUUGUCUUAGAGUUUCAGAAGCUAUGUCGGCAUUUUUAGUUGGCUGUGAAUUUCAACAGCCAACUAUGUAUACUCUCAGUGUUCAGACCUGGUGAGCUUGGAUAAAUUGUUCCUCAGCAGGGUUCCUUACUUGAGGCAGCUGUAAUGAAACUCAUCAUAUUCCUCUGUAGCACACUUCAGCUGGUCUACACCAUGGUUGUUGGAGAAAGACUUCUCUUGGACUUGAGGCAAGAUGGAAGUGUGAAGUUUCAGUCUGUGCAGGGUAGUUAGAAACAGUGUGUCAGACAAACAUUUCCCACAAGCCAAUAAAUUUCCAGAAGAAUGAUUUAGCUAUGAGCCAUCUAAAAAUACUGUUUAAAAAAUCUAUAAGCAUUAUUUAAAAAAUAUCAUUAGGUGAGCACAUUUUAGAGAAGACGUUUGAAAACGAAGAGACAAAAUAAAAUGGUAUUCAUUCAAACUCACUCCUGACUCACAUUGGAAAUGUUAUUGAAUUUUCUUGAUUUUAAAGAGAUUUCUAUAGAUGAUAGAAACUUGCUAUAAUGUCAUAACUUUUUCUUUUUGUAAAAGAAGUUAGCAGAAAUGAAAAUCUUCCCUGAAACUACCCUCUAGUGCAGGACUGCCACCAAGAAUCAAAAUCCAGGAUGAGAGUCAAUUACAGAUGGUGUCAUUGAAGUAGGGUGGGCAAGAAUGGAAAACAUGGGUUUCUUAGAAAUGUGUACAUAAAAUGAAAGGGCACUGAGCACAACUGUGACGAGGACGCUGGCUUUCUUUUCUGUGCUUUCCUUCCUCAUUUCUUUCCUUUUGCCUUUUCUUCCUCAGUUUCCCUACUUUUUCCAUUCAAUCUGUUCUCUAUGACAGUAACCAAUGUAUCUUUUACUUUGUGGUUUGUUCAUUUGGGACCUGAAUCACUCUUAAAGCACUUAGAUUGACUUAUAAAUGUCAUUGAAAUAUCUGAAGUAUAAUACCGUUGGGGCAAAAAUUAUUUUCUUUCAUAAAAUUAAUUUAAAAAUAGUUGAAUUCCACCAUAUCCUUUCAUUUUCCAUCUUGGAGCCACUUUGUUACCUCAGUUAUACCCUGCUUAGAAGCUUCCAUGUUUCUACUAGUGCCAGUUCCUCCUUCUAGAAUAUAAUUUAUCCCAUUUCUCACUCAUUGGAAUCCUUCCUAUUGGUUGAAGCCUAACUCAAAUCUCACUUCUUCUGGAAGGCCUUCUUUCAACAGAUAUUUAUAGAGGGCCUUCCUCAUGCCAAGUAAUAUUCUAAGGGCUGGGGACAUGCAGUGAACAAGGUGGGCAAAGUCCCGGCUCACAUGGAGUUUACAUUCUGAGAGCUGGAGAUAGCCAUUGUUAAAUAACAAAAAAAGUAGAUAUGUAACAUGUCAGGUGUUAUAACUACAAUAAGGUAAACUAAAGGAGAGUCAUGGGCUAAAAAGUGAUGGGGAAAGACCAGAGAGAAGAAUAUAUUUAUUCUUCAUUUUGUGCUUUGGUAACAUGUAAUCCUAUCUUAAAAACUACAUACCUUUUCAUACAUGAGGAAAUGACAUAAAUGUCUUAUGUGUUGUAAGCUACGUGUAGACAUGAAGUUAUGUAGCUUUGCAUUCACCAGUGCCUUGUAUACAACAGGCAUAUAAUCAAUGAGAAUGAAAUGACAUCGGCAACAGAUAGGAAGCUGAUGCUUUAUCCACAGCACCAUCAGUACAUGUUGGUGUCUUUUGAUGCAAGUCAUGUCAAGAAGUGGAAAAUAUCUUGUCAAUUAACUGGGGAGCAGGAAAUGAUGAUGAAGGCCAGAAAUCAAUCUUUCAAGGCUGGAAGUGUAUCAGUGGCAGAGGUUAAAGGAACUGAUCCAAAGAGGUAGGCACACAACUGAGCAUAUGCUGGGAAGGAUAAAGGAUGAGGAAAAGGAGAGCCUGGUGGCCACAUCAGUGGACCAUAAUAGGCAUCACUGUUGAUACUAAACUAGUAAAGAUCCCUCCUUCUCAGCCCCCUUGAGUGACUCUAAAGACUCUCAAAGUCUGGGGUUUUGAAUGCCACACUGAAUUUUUAGCUUCCAUUAGGUACCCUUUAUUUUACUGCAUUAAUUGUCUUACAUGGAAUUCAAUGUUAAACACCAUUUCCUAUUAAUUAAGCAUCUUUUUAAAAUAAACUUUUGAUAAGAGUGCUAGCAAGUCCAGAGAGCUAGGAAACCAGAAGAUCAGUAUUCCAGCUGUUUCUAGAAGUGUUAGCAUGGGACAGUAAGGCAGUGAGAGGUAGGCCAACAAUGGGAGUAUUCUGUGUAAGUAGUUACUAAGAAAUUUGUGGUAGGGCGUAGCACCACAGAUAUUAGAAACAACUUUUCACAUGAACAGGACAUAUGUAGAAUUUACAAUGAACCAUGCACUAUUCUAAGUGCUUACUUAUGUUAACCAAGCCCAAUCUAUAAGCUAGGUUUUUCGUCAUGUCUACUUUACAAAA
Molecule: long non-coding RNA, 7948 nt
Organism: Sapajus apella (tufted capuchin)
Lineage: Eukaryota; Metazoa; Chordata; Mammalia; Primates; Cebidae
Exons: 2
Source: RefSeq, a predicted model, not a curated record